This is a long non-coding RNA of Leopardus geoffroyi (Geoffroy's cat), 441 nucleotides long. RefSeq lists it as uncharacterized. The transcript has 3 exons. The record is from RefSeq and is a predicted model, not a curated record. Lineage: Eukaryota; Metazoa; Chordata; Mammalia; Carnivora; Felidae.
ACAAAGAGUAUAAAUGCCCCAUUCUACCAUAAGCCUCAAUCUUGAAUCUUAACAGGAACUCACAGAAGGUUGACUGAACGACUAACAUGUAUUGAGUGAUUAUAGGCACCUUGUUCUCUCCUAAGCCCUGUGAGAAUUAACUCAUUCAGUCCUCACAAUAAUCCUACCAGCGUUGAUGAGGCUACUCCACCUGCCUGCCACUUUUCCAAGACUGAGUCCUCUUCUGAUAAAGAAUAAAAAAUGCAGUGACCUCCUCACCUCCUUCUGAAAUGAACACUGAGCCUACCCACCACACCAUGAUGAGAAGACCAUUCAUAUUACAAACUCUUGGUAAUGUAAAGUAAAAACACCGACAGUCAAAAGAAUCAGCAUCUUUGCCUGCCUACUACCUGAAAGUCUUUCCUGUAUAUAAAUAGAAUAAAGAAAGAAAAGAAAAAAAAG